AUAAUUACUUCCGGGUUCCCACUGGUGCGCUGGGUUGACUAGCUACGCGCACAACCUGUCGAACACCCAUCGUCCUGUGUGCGGUACAUCUACUGGGUUGUCAUCACCAAUGUGGGUCAGCAAUAUGGAGUCCACCCUGUCCAGAUGUCGGACCAGCUUCCAGAAGCAGGACUUGCGAUCCGAGCCCCCGUUGAUCAGCAUGUUGAACCCGUUGACGGCGAAGAGGGCGGAGUCUCCACGCCCCCCCGGGAAGAUGUAGCAGCAGGGCUUCGACAGCUUCAGAAACCCCCCGGAGGUCGGGGGCUCCAGCAUGUCGAAGGGCGACGGGAUCUCCACGGACUCGGCCAGGUACUCCGCGAACUCAGAGAGACCCUCCAUUUCGGGCAGUAUGACCGCAGAGUUCAGCUUCAUGUUUAUGAAGUCUUGGAGGUUGUGUUUGUCCAGGUUUGAGUUCUUCCAGUCACCUUCUUCAGGGCAGAACAAGGUUAGGUUUGCCUUGUUUGCUGGAUGUGUGUUGCUGAGUAAUUCCCCAAUCUAUUAAGGCAAGAAUAUCAUUGGUUUUUAUUAAAUUAUUUUUAAAAGCCUUGAUUAGGAAAACACAAGACAGAUGACCCUUUGCCUUGUUAAACUUUCAGUAUCAAGGGUCAGUUGUUUAAUCAUAAAAUUAUGACUAUAAUAAAAUAUUUCUGAAGUGCCA
Molecule: long non-coding RNA, 697 nt
Organism: Anguilla rostrata (American eel)
Lineage: Eukaryota; Metazoa; Chordata; Actinopteri; Anguilliformes; Anguillidae
Exons: 2
Source: RefSeq, a predicted model, not a curated record